AUUUUGAACCGCAUGGUUCAAUAGUGAAAGACGGCCUUGCUGUCACUUAUAGAUGGAUCCGCGCCGUAUUAGCUAGUUGGUAAGGUAACGGCUUACCAAGGCAACGAUACGUAGCCGACCUGAGAGGGUGAUCGGCCACACUGGAACUGAGACACGGUCCAGACUCCUACGGGAGGCAGCAGUAGGGAAUCUUCCGCAAUGGGCGAAAGCCUGACGGAGCAACGCCGCGUGAGUGAUGAAGGUCUUCGGAUCGUAAAACUCUGUUAUCAGGGAAGAACAAACGUGUAAGUAACUGUGCACGUCUUGACGGUACCUGAUCAGAAAGCCACGGCUAACUACAUGCCAGCAGCCGCGGUAAUACGUAGGUGGCAAGCGUUAUCCGGAAUUAUUGGGCGUAAAGCGCGCGUAGGCGGUUUUUUAAGUCUGAUGUGAAAGCCCACGGCUCAACCG
RNAcentral lists this ribosomal RNA (450 nucleotides) under Staphylococcus pasteuri. RNAcentral describes it as "bacterial SSU rRNA". It matches the Rfam family "Bacterial small subunit ribosomal RNA", at positions 173 to 615 of the family's 1533-position model. The record is from RNAcentral. Lineage: Bacteria; Bacillati; Bacillota; Bacilli; Caryophanales; Staphylococcaceae.